AAAGGUUUGGUCCCAGCCUUAUUAUCAACUGUUUCUUAACUUACACAUGCAAGUCUCAGCACACCCGUGAGAACGCCCUUUCAACCUUUACCAUGCUAAGGAGCUGGUAUCAGGCACACCCUAAUCCUGCCCAUAACACCUAGUCUUACCACGCCCUCAAGGGUAAUCAGCAGUGAUAAAUUUUGUGCAUAAGCGAUAGCUUGACCCAGUUAAAGAAAAGAGGGCCGGCUAACCCGGUGCCAGCCGCCGCGGCUACACCGUUGGGGCUCGAGUUGCUAAUUUAUCGGCGUCAAGCGUGAUUAAAGAUUUUCUAAAAAUUAUAGUUGAAUUAAUACUCAGUAGUGACAAGCUUGUUAUUAAGAAAAUCGUAAACGAAAGUUACUCUAAUUAUUUAUCUUGAACACACGACAACUAGGAACACAAACUGGGAUUAGAUACCCCACUAUGCCUAGACGUAAACAAUUUAUUUACAUACUUUAACGCCCGGGUAUUACGAGCAAUGCUUAAAACCCAAAGGACUUGACGGUGUCUCACCCACCUAGAGGAGCCUGUUCUAUAAUCGAUAACCCCCGCUUUACCUAACCAUUCUUUGCCUAAUAGUCUGUAUACCUCCGUCGGAAGCUUACCAUAUGAACGCCCAUAGUAAGCCCAAUGGUCACCCACCAACACGUCAGGUCAAGGUGCAACUUAUAGGAUGGAAAGAAAUGGGCUACAAUUUCUAAAUUAGAACAAACGAAAGGCUGUCUGAAACCCCAGUCAUGAAGGAGGAUCUAGUAGUAAAAGGGGAAUAGAGAGCUCCUUUUAACCCGGCACUGAGACGCGUACACACCGCCCGUCACCCUCUUCAAUAGUUAUUCGUCUAGAUUAUUAACAAAUUAACCACGCCUUAGAAGAGGCAAGUCGUAACACGGUAGGGGUACUGGAAAGUGCCCCUGGUAGACAC
This 943-nucleotide non-coding RNA is filed under the name Amolops larutensis (Larut sucker frog). RNAcentral's name for it is "12S ribosomal RNA". It matches the Rfam family "Bacterial small subunit ribosomal RNA". Lineage: Eukaryota; Metazoa; Chordata; Amphibia; Anura; Ranidae. The record is from RNAcentral.